This 253-nucleotide ribosomal RNA is filed under the name uncultured bacterium. Its description in RNAcentral is "partial 16S ribosomal RNA". It matches the Rfam family "Bacterial small subunit ribosomal RNA", at positions 524 to 776 of the family's 1533-position model. The record is from RNAcentral.
UACGUAGGGGGCAAGCGUUGUCCGGAAUCAUUGGGCGUAAAGAGCGCGUAGGCGGCCAGAUAAGUCCGGUGUGAAAGUCAAAGGCUCAACCUUUGAAUGCCGCUGGAAACUGUCUGGCUAGAGUCCGGGAGGGGCGAGUGGAAUUCCCGGUGUAGCGGUGAAAUGCGCAGAUAUCAGGAGGAACACCAAUGGCGAAGGCAGCUCGCUGGAACGGUACUGACGCUGAGGAGCGAAAGCGUGGGGAGCGAACAGG